GGGAAGGUGGCUCAGUGGUAGAGCGCUUGCCUUACAUGCAUGAGGCCCCCUUCCUC
RNAcentral lists this transfer RNA (56 nucleotides) under Dipodomys ordii (Ord's kangaroo rat). It matches the Rfam family "tRNA". From Rfam's summary of the family: Transfer RNA (tRNA) molecules are approximately 80 nucleotides in length. Their secondary structure includes four short double-helical elements and three loops (D, anti-codon, and T loops). The record is from Rfam by way of RNAcentral. Lineage: Eukaryota; Metazoa; Chordata; Mammalia; Rodentia; Heteromyidae.